UAGGUCAUAAUAUCUGGAAUGAUUUAUGGUUUAAAUCUAUAUGGCCUCUGGAUUGGACUGCGGCCGAUCAGGCUGUUGGUGAGGUAAUGGCCCACCAAACCUAAAACCGGUACGGGCUCUGAGAGGAGAAGCCCGGAGAUGGGCACUGAGACAAGGGCCCAGGCCCUAUGGGGCGCAGCAGGCGCGAAAACUCUGCAAUAAGCGAAAGCUUGACAGGGUUAUUCUGAGUGAUUUCCGCUAAGGAAAUCUUUUGGCACCUCUAAAAAUGGUGCAGAAUAAGGGGUGGGCAAGCCUGGUGUCAGCCGCCGCGGUAAUACCAGCACCCCGAGUGGUCGGGACGAUUAUUGGGCCUAAAGCAUCCGUAGCCGGUUCUACAAGUCUUCCGUUAAAUCCACCUGCUUAACAGAUGGGCUGCGGAGGAUACUAUGGAGCUAGGAGGCGGGAGAGGCAAGCGGUACUUAGUGGGUAGGGGUAAAAUCCGUUGAUCCAUUGAAGACCACCAGUGGCGAAGGCGGCUUGCCAGAACGCACUCGACGGUGAGGGAUGAAAGCUGGGGGAGCAAACCGGAUUAGAUACCCGGGUAGUCCCAGCUGUAAACGAUGCAGACUCGGUGAUGAGUUGGCUUAUUGCUAACUCAGUGCCGCA
This 645-nucleotide ribosomal RNA is filed under the name uncultured crenarchaeote. RNAcentral describes it as "bacterial SSU rRNA". It matches the Rfam family "Archaeal small subunit ribosomal RNA", at positions 156 to 805 of the family's 1478-position model. Lineage: Archaea; Thermoproteati; Thermoproteota. The record is from RNAcentral.